AUUGAACGCUGGCGGCAGGCCUAACACAUGCAAGUCGAACGAGUGGCGGACGGGUGAGUAAUGUCUGGGAACCUGCCCGAUGGAGGGGGAUAACUACUGGAAACGGUAGCUAAUACCGCAUACCAUCGGAUGUGCCCAGAUGGGAUUAGCUAGUAGGUGGGGUAACGGCUCACCAAGGCGACGAUCCCUAGCUGGUUUGAGAGGAUGACCAGCCACACUGGGACUGAGACACGGCCCAGAUUCCUACGGGAGGCAGCAGUGGGGAAUUUUGGACAAUGGGGGAAACCCUGAUCCAGCCAUGCCGCGUGUAUGAUGAAGGCCUUCGGGUUGUAAAGUACUUUCGGCAGGGAGGCGUUAUCUGCAGAAUAAGCACCGGCUAACUCCGUGCCAGCAGCCGCGGUAAUUC
RNAcentral lists this ribosomal RNA (406 nucleotides) under uncultured bacterium. Its description in RNAcentral is "partial 16S ribosomal RNA". It matches the Rfam family "Bacterial small subunit ribosomal RNA", at positions 30 to 526 of the family's 1533-position model. The record is from RNAcentral.